This 478-nucleotide ribosomal RNA is filed under the name uncultured bacterium. RNAcentral describes it as "partial 16S ribosomal RNA". It matches the Rfam family "Bacterial small subunit ribosomal RNA", at positions 28 to 523 of the family's 1533-position model. The record is from RNAcentral.
GACGAACGCUGGCGGCGGGCUUAACACAUGCAAGUCGAACGGUAAGGCCCUUCGGGGUACACGAGUGGCGAACGGGUGAGUAACACGUGGGUGAUCUGCCCUGCACUUCGGGAUAAGCCUGGGAAACUGGGUCUAAUACCGGAUAGGACCACUGCCCGCAUGGGUGGUGGUGGAAAGCUUUUGCGGUGCGGGAUGGGCCCGCGGCCUAUCAGCUUGUUGGUGGGGUGAUGGCCUACCAAGGCGACGACGGGUAGCCGGCCUGAGAGGGUGACCGGCCACACUGGGACUGAGAUACGGCCCAGACUCCUACGGGAGGCAGCAGUGGGGAAUACUGCACAAUGGGCGCAAGCCUGAUGCAGCGACGCCGCGUGAGGGAUGACGGCCUUCGGGUUGUAAACCUCUUUCAGCACCGACGAAGCGCAAGUGACGGUAGGUGCAGAAGAAGGACCGGCCAACUACGUGCCAGCCGCCGCAGUAA